Long non-coding RNA from Nestor notabilis (Kea), 508 nucleotides. RefSeq lists it as uncharacterized. Lineage: Eukaryota; Metazoa; Chordata; Aves; Psittaciformes; Psittacidae. The record is from RefSeq and is a predicted model, not a curated record. The transcript has 3 exons.
ACAGCCGCCCUAGACUUUUGCACAGGGAGCUGAUGGAAACUCAUCACUCCACACUGCUGGGUAGGAGACAAGACACUCAAGCAAAGGUCUGCACCUUGGUUUCUCAAGUUUUCCUCUCUCUUUGAUGGUCUUGCCUCCUGUCUCCUUGAACAGAGUGUCCAAGCUUUAAAGUCAGCCCAGCCAGAGGAACAGUUAUCCUCAUUCUUUCAGCUGAGAAAAUCCUUUCCAUGUUGUCCACCACUGUGAUGAAAAGAGAAGCCCCUCUUGCCAGAGACUGAAUUUGUCUGUCACAAAACCACCAUUUUCAGGACUUGUCAUGUCUCCCUUUCUGCGCAUUGGUUUAUCCAACUAUGACAGUGGCCCUUACCUGCCAUCCCAGGGGGAGGUGAUUAACCCUUACUGUGCUGUGAUGGUGAAAGAAGCUGUGGAAUCAGUCAUGAAGAUCAACUUCAGUGUUAGGGAAUUCCUCAUAUUGGCUGUUAUUUAUCUUCAAUCUUUGAUAAAUUCC